Molecule: transfer RNA, 87 nt
Filed under: Candidatus Schekmanbacteria bacterium
Lineage: Bacteria; Candidatus Schekmaniibacteriota
Description: tRNA-Ser
Rfam family: tRNA
About the family: Transfer RNA (tRNA) molecules are approximately 80 nucleotides in length. Their secondary structure includes four short double-helical elements and three loops (D, anti-codon, and T loops).
Source: RNAcentral
GGAGAGGUGGCUGAGUGGCCGAAAGCGGCGGUCUUGAAAACCGUUGUACCGGUGACGGUACCGUGGGUUCGAAUCCUACCCUCUCCG